CAGCAAUGGAGAGUGGCAGACGGGUGAGUAACACGUGGGAACCUUCCCUUUGGUUCGGAAUAGCUCAGGGAAACUUGAGGUAAUACCGGAUAAGCCCUUACGGGGAAAGAUUUAUCGCCGAAGGAUGGGCCCGCGUCGGAUUAGCUAGUUGGUGGGGUAACGGCCUACCAAGGCGACGAUCCGUAGCUGGUCUGAGAGGAUGAUCAGCCACACUGGGACUGAGACACGGCCCAGACUCCUACGGGAGGCAGCAGUGGGGAAUUUUGCGCAAUGGGGGAAACCCUGACGCAGCAACGCCGCGUGGAGGAUGAAGUCCCUUGGG
This 322-nucleotide ribosomal RNA is filed under the name uncultured bacterium. RNAcentral describes it as "bacterial SSU rRNA". It matches the Rfam family "Bacterial small subunit ribosomal RNA", at positions 83 to 422 of the family's 1533-position model. The record is from RNAcentral.